Molecule: ribosomal RNA, 386 nt
Filed under: Acanthoecida sp.
Lineage: Eukaryota; Choanoflagellata; Acanthoecida
Description: partial small subunit ribosomal RNA
Rfam family: Eukaryotic small subunit ribosomal RNA
Source: RNAcentral
AUUCCAGCUCCAAUAGCGUAUAUUAAAGUUGUUGCAGCUAAAAAGCUCGUAGUUGGACUUCUGGGUUGUGAUUGUGGUCCGCCUAACGGUGUGCACUGUGGUUGCGACUCUUCUUCCCGUAGUUUGGGGGUGCACUUAGUUGUGUGCUUUUGGAAUAUGGGACCUUUACUUUGAAAAAAUUAGAGUGUUCAAAGCAGGCCUUCGCUUGAAUACAUUAGCAUGGAAUAAUAGAAUAGGACUUUGGUUCUAUUUUGUUGGUUUCUAGGACCGAAGUAAUGAUUAAUAGGGACAGUUGGGGGCAUUAGUAUUUAAUUGUCAGAGGUGAAAUUCUUGGAUUUAUGAAAGACUAACUACUGCGAAAGCAUUUGCCAAGGAUGUUUUCAUUG